RNAcentral lists this ribosomal RNA (301 nucleotides) under uncultured bacterium. RNAcentral describes it as "partial 16S ribosomal RNA". It matches the Rfam family "Bacterial small subunit ribosomal RNA", at positions 509 to 807 of the family's 1533-position model. The record is from RNAcentral.
CAGCCGCCACGGUAAUACGAAGGGGGCUAGCGUUACUCGGAAUUACUGGGCGUAAAGGGCGCGUAGGCGGCACGAUUAGUCAGGCGUGAAAUUCCUGGGCUCAACCUGGGGACUGCGCUUGAUACGGUCGAGCUAGAGGAUGGAAGAGGGUCGUGGAAUUCCCAGUGUAGAGGUGAAAUUCGUAGAUAUUGGGAAGAACACCGGUGGCGAAGGCGGCGACCUGGUCCAUUACUGACGCUGAGGCGCGACAGCGUGGGGAGCAAACAGGAUUAGAUACCCGAGUAGUCCCUGUAUCUUAUAC